GAUGAACGCUGGCGGCGUGCCUAUACAUGCAAGUCGAGCGAACAGACGAGGAGCUUGCUCCUCUGACGUUAGCGGCGGACGGGUGAGUAACACGUGGAUAACCUACCUAUAAGACUGGGAUAACUUCGGGAAACCGGAGCUAAUACCGGAUAAUAUAUUGAACCGCAUGGUUCCAUAGUGAAAGACGGUUUUGCUGUCACUUAUAGAUGGAUCCGCGCCGCAUUAGCUAGUUGGUAAGGUAACGGCUUACCAAGGCAACGAUGCGUAGCCGACCUGAGAGGGUGAUCGGCCACACUGGAACUGAGACACGGUCCAGACUCCUACGGGAGGCAGCAGUAGGGAAUCUUCCGCAAUGGGCGAAAGCCUGACGGAGCAACGCCGCGUGAGUGAUGAAGGUCUUCGGAUCGUAAAACUCUGUUAUUAGGGAAGAACAAAUGUGUAAGUAACUAUGCACGUCUUGACGGUACCUAAUCAGAAAGCCACGGCUAACUACGUG
This 496-nucleotide ribosomal RNA is filed under the name uncultured bacterium. RNAcentral's name for it is "partial 16S ribosomal RNA". It matches the Rfam family "Bacterial small subunit ribosomal RNA", at positions 28 to 507 of the family's 1533-position model. The record is from RNAcentral.